This 74-nucleotide transfer RNA is filed under the name Nonomuraea helvata. RNAcentral describes it as "tRNA-Ala". It matches the Rfam family "tRNA". From Rfam's summary of the family: Transfer RNA (tRNA) molecules are approximately 80 nucleotides in length. Their secondary structure includes four short double-helical elements and three loops (D, anti-codon, and T loops). Lineage: Bacteria; Bacillati; Actinomycetota; Actinomycetes; Streptosporangiales; Streptosporangiaceae. RNAcentral also lists the same sequence under 5 other names. The record is from RNAcentral.
GGGGCCUUAGCUCAGUUGGCAGAGCGCCUGCUUUGCAAGCAGGAUGUCAGGAGUUCGAAUCUCCUAGGCUCCAC